Gymnopus androsaceus JB14 is the source of this 93-nucleotide non-coding RNA. The record is from the annotation of a GenBank genome assembly. NCBI's taxonomy places the organism in Eukaryota, Fungi, Basidiomycota, Agaricomycetes, Agaricales, Omphalotaceae.
GGCCUCAUGGCUCAAAGGUUGAGCACCAGGUAAUCAUGCAUGUAUAGACUUGUGCUUACCUGGAGGGGCUCGGUUCAAUUCCGAGUGGGGCCA